This 323-nucleotide ribosomal RNA is filed under the name uncultured bacterium. RNAcentral describes it as "bacterial SSU rRNA". It matches the Rfam family "Bacterial small subunit ribosomal RNA", at positions 122 to 440 of the family's 1533-position model. The record is from RNAcentral.
AAAUCUGCCGAGUAGCGGGGGACAACGUUUGGAAACGAACGCUAAUACCGCAUAACAAUGAGAAUCGCAUGAUUCUGAUUUAAAAGAAGCAACUGCUUCACUACUUGAUGAUCCCGCGUUGUAUUAGCUAGUUGGUAGUGUAAAGGACUACCAAGGCGAUGAUACAUAGCCGGCCUGAGAGGGUGAACGGCCACNCUGGGACUGAGACACGGCCCAGACUCCUACGGGAGGCAGCAGUAGGGAAUCUUCGGCNAUGGGGGCAACCCUGACCGAGCAACGCCGCGUGAGUGAAGAAGGUUUUCGGAUCGUAAAACUCUGUUGUU